UACGUAGGUGGCAAGCGUUGUCCGGAUUUACUGGGCGUAAAGCGCGCGCAGGCGGGCUGGUCAGUCCGGGGUGAAAUCUCACGGCUCAACCGUGAGCGGUCCCCGGAUACUGCCAGUCUUGAGGUGUCUAGAGGAGAGCGGAAUUCCCGGUGUAGUGGUGGAAUGCGUAGAUAUCGGGAAGAACACCAGUGGCGAAAGCGGCUCUCUGGGGACCACCUGACGCUGAGGCGCGAAAGUGUGGGGAGCGAACAGG
This 253-nucleotide ribosomal RNA is filed under the name uncultured bacterium. Its description in RNAcentral is "partial 16S ribosomal RNA". It matches the Rfam family "Bacterial small subunit ribosomal RNA", at positions 524 to 776 of the family's 1533-position model. The record is from RNAcentral.